CUACGGGGUGCACCAGUGAGGAAUAUUGCACAAUGGGGGGAACCCUGAUGCAGCAACGCCGCGUGGAGGAUGACGCAUUUCGGUGUGUAAACUCCUUUUAUAUGUCAAGAAAAUGACGGUAGCAUAUGAAUAAGCACCGGCUAACAUCCGUGCCAGCAGCCGCGGUAUACGGAGGGUGCAAGCGUUACUCGGAAUCACUGGGCGUAAAGGACGCGUAGGCGGGUUGGAAAGUCAGGUGUGAAAUCCUACAGCUUAACUGUAGAACUGCACUUGAAACUUCUAAUCUAGAGUAUGGGAGGGGGAGAUGGAAUUAGUGGUGUAGGGGUAAAAUCCGUAGAUAUCACUAGGAAUACCUAAAGCGAAGGCGAUCUCCUGGAACAUUACUGACGCUAAGGCGUGAAAGCGUGGGGAGCAAACAGGAUUAGAUACCCCCGUAGUC
RNAcentral lists this ribosomal RNA (439 nucleotides) under uncultured bacterium. RNAcentral describes it as "partial 16S ribosomal RNA". It matches the Rfam family "Bacterial small subunit ribosomal RNA", at positions 339 to 795 of the family's 1533-position model. The record is from RNAcentral.